UUGGAAACGCUACACAGAAAGAAAGAAAGAAAGAAAGAAAAGGGCUUGUAAGAAAGAAAGCAAAGCGAGAGUGAAGUCUACUUCAAUUCUUCCCAUUAUUCUCCCAAAUUCUCGUUAAUUUCCGUUACAUUUCUUGUUUGAUCUUCACGUUUUUACAUAUAAUAUUAUCCGCAAUUUGAUGCUUUUCCCUUAAAUGAGUCGUUUAGGGUUUAAUAAUAAAUCUGUGGUUUACCAUGGAGAAGCUUGUUUGGGUGAAUUGGAUGUUAUUCCUACCGCGGAUAAGACUUUCCACUUCCCAAACAACGAGAUUCGUAUUCAUCAUUUCUCCCAGCUCAGUGAAAGAUGCCCCCCUCUCUCAGUUCUCUUAGCAAUCUCAUCGCUUCCCGUUCGUUGCAAGCUCGAAUCAUCUUCACCCGUUAAACAACCGCUUCUCGAUCUCCACGCCGCUUGUUUCUACGAACUAAAGACGGCUGUGGUGGUGAUUGGAGAUGAAGAGGUGCAUUUAGUGGCAAUGCCGAGUAAAUUAAAGCGGUUUCCGUGUUUCUGGUGUUGUUUGGUUCCGUCUCGGUUGUACAAUGCUUGCUUAGGGAUGUUGAACAUGAGGUGUCUUUCUAUCGUGUUUGAUCUUGAUGAGACGCUUAUUGUUGCGAAUACGAUGAGGUCCUUUGAAGAUAGGAUUGAGGUUUUGACUGGUUGGAUUGGGCAGGAGUCGGAUCCUGUUCGUGUUUCUGGGAUGACUUCUGAGCUUAAGAGAUAUGUGGAGGAUCGGGCGUUGUUGAAGCAGUAUGCUGAGAAUGAUGUGGUUACGGACAGUGGGCAGACGUAUAAUGUGAAACUGGAGGAUGUUCCUGUGAAUGCUGCUGGUAAUGAGCGUGUUCAGCGGCCCGUUAUAAGAUUGCCGGAAAAAAAUGUAGUCUUAACCCGUAUUAAUCCAGAGAUUCGUGAUACCAGUGUGCUUGUGAGAUUACGGCCUGCAUGGGAAGAUUUAAGAAGCUAUUUGAUUGCAAAAGGACGCAAAAGAUUUGAAGUUUUUGUGUGCACUAUGGCUGAAAGAGAUUAUGCCUUGGAGAUGUGGAGGUUGUUAGACCCUGGGGCCCACCUAAUUGGUCCCAAGCAACUGUUGACUCGUGUUGUAUGCGUCAAAUCAGGUGCACGCAAGUCUUUGCUGAAUGUCUUCCAAGAUAGGAAUUGUCAUCCAAGGAUGGCCAUGGUGAUUGAUGAUAGGUUAAAGGUUUGGGAAGAAAAGGAUCAACCUCGAGUUCAUGUGGUACCUGCUUUCACUCCUUAUUAUGCUCCACAAGCAGAGACGGCAAGCGCUGUUCCAGUUCUUUGUGUAGCAAGGAAUGUUGCAUGCAACGUUAGAGGUGGUUUCUUCAAAGAAUUUGAUGAGAAUCUUAUAAGGAGAGUUUCUGAACACUUUCAUGAAGAUGAAGUUUUGAAUCUACCACCUGCACCAGAUGUUUGCAACUAUCUUAUGUCAGAGGAUGCUAGUUUUGUACCAAAUGGUAAUACAAGUGCCCCAAUGGCAGAUGGAAUGAAUGGUCCUGAAGUUACUCAAAGACUGAAUCAGCAGGAUGCUAGAAAUGUUGACCUAAAAUCUGAGAGAUCCCAGCCGUUAGUUCCAACUGCAAGUAUCUACGGUCCACCAUCUUUCAGAUCGAUGAUGCCUUCCGAUAAACCUAGCUUACUGGGCCCUAUCCAAGGACCUGAGAUAGCAAGCAGACAGCGAGCUGGUUAUCAUCCCCUGUCUCAUGGUAUAGCUAGUUCUUUCUCUGCAGGGAUUCAACCACUCAUAUCAGAACCAAAGAAUGAUGAGGUAUUCCAUGGAUAUGGAUUGCAAAAGAAGAAUUUGCAACAAGCAGGUCAGCCAUCAGAUGUAGGUGUACCACAUAAUCCACCAUUUUUAAAUAACAAAAGGGGGCCAACUGAUAGUGGAAAUUCGAACCUGCUACAACCAUCUUUAUCGGUAGGAGUACUGCAGGAAAUAGGACAAAGAUGUGGUUCUAAGGUUGAAUAUAGAUCCAUCUUGAGCUCUAGCAGGGAUUGGCCGUUCUCUUAUGAGGUGUUAUUCACUGGUGAGAAAGUAGGCGUUGGGAUGGGUAAGACCCGGAAAGAUGCACAACAACAGGCUGCUGAAAAUGCCCUUCGCAGCCUAGCUGACAAAUAUGUAGCACACGUGAUCUCCCAAUCAGAAACAGUGAAGAAAGAUCCUGAUAAUGAAGUGGAAAAUGGAUUUUUAUGGGAAUCUGAUGCAGAUGAAUCACCUGUGAAAGAUGCAUCGGAGGUUGUGCUUGGAUAAAGGGUAUUUUGGCCAGACCUCCAGAUAGCACUGUUUGGGUUGCAUCCUUGAUCCUCUUAAUGAAGGUUGCUGAAAUGAGGCGUUCCUCCAAUUCAACGGGACAGCUUGUUCAGAAGUCGAAUCACUAAGGUUACCGAGAUCGGUUGAAGUUUCUCCAGAUUCAAAGAGAGUGAUAACAUGCAGAAUGGGGUGGUGAUACGAGUUAACCUCAACAACUUAACUAGUGGAUGUUGUUGAUACAAAGAAAGUGGAAAUCACGAGGUUUAGGGUUUGUAAGUAUUAUUGCCUUGAUAAGGUACCUCCUUUUGGGGUUUUAACCUUGUAAAUUACUUGUUGUUGUUUAAGAACAGGGAAAAGGAAUAUUAGUUCCUUCUUGAGUAAAACAAGUGCCGCCAUUUGGAGACAAUUUUUGACUGGCGGCUAGUAUAGUAGAUAUGCAUGCUUACGUCAGUCACUAUUGAUCUUAUUUUAUAAGCUCAAGGUGUAUGAAAAGAGGUAGCAGCCUGAAAACCCAAGUGAAACUGUGAGGAUAAGGAUGUUUACACUCAUUAUUGCUUGUCACAAUUUAAUGACCCAAAAUUCAAUUUGUAAAACAGUUACAAUUUUACAUGACUACAUACAAUUUAAUUUUGAGACCUUUUUUCA
This is an RNA transcript of Helianthus annuus (common sunflower), 2944 nucleotides long. It is a transcript of the gene named RNA polymerase II C-terminal domain phosphatase-like 2, with no coding region annotated. Lineage: Eukaryota; Viridiplantae; Streptophyta; Magnoliopsida; Asterales; Asteraceae. The record is from RefSeq and is a predicted model, not a curated record. The transcript is spliced from 17 exons.